RNAcentral lists this unclassified non-coding RNA (239 nucleotides) under Hevea brasiliensis (rubber tree). Lineage: Eukaryota; Viridiplantae; Streptophyta; Magnoliopsida; Malpighiales; Euphorbiaceae. The record is from RNAcentral.
GGAAGUCACUGUAUGGAACUGCAAAAUGCUUGACCUAGCUAUUAGAGGAGUCCACAUAUGAAAUCUACUAAUCUGACUAUAAAUCUUACUCCAAAGCGAAGAAAUAACAACAACAAUAGCAUUCAUGCAUUUUUACUAUAUCUGCACACGUGAAAUCAUUUUUGUAGAGGUUAUUUUUCAAUCCAUAGACCUUCUAUGAAUAAUAAUAAAAGAACCAGCCAGAGUGUUGAUUUAAUCUC